AGGCUUAACACAUGCAAGUCGAGGGGCAGCAUGCUCUUAGCUUGCUAAGGUCGAUGGCGACCGGCGCACGGGUGAGUAACGCGUAUCCAACCUGCCUUACACUCUUGGACAGCCUUCUGAAAGGGAGAUUAAUACAAGAUGUUAUCAUGAGUAAGCAUUUUCGCAUGAUUAAAGGUUUACCGGUGUAAGAUGGGGAUGCGUUCCAUUAGAUAGUAGGCGGGGUAACGGCCCACCUAGUCUUCGAUGGAUAGGGGUUCUGAGAGGAAGGUCCCCCACAUUGGAACUGAGACACGGUCCAAACUCCUACGGGAGGCAGCAGUGAGGAAUAUUGGUCAAUGGACGAGAGUCUGAACCAGCCAAGUAGCGUGAAGGAUGAAGGUUCUAUGGAUUGUAAACUUCUUUUAUACGGGAAUAAACGAAUCCACGUGUGGAUUUUUGCAUGUACCGUAUGAAUAAGGAUCGGCUAACUCCGUGCCAGCAGCCGCGGUAAUACGGAGGAUCCGAGCGUUAUCCGGAUUUAUUGGGUUUAAAGGGAGCGUAGAUGGGUUGUUAAGUCAGUUGUGAAAGUUUGCGGCUCAACCGUAAAAUUGCAAUUGAUACUGGCAGUCUUGAGUACAGUUGAGGUAGGCGGAAUUCGUGGUGUAGCGGUGAAAUGCUUAGAUAUCACGAAGAACUCCGAUUGCGAAGGCAGCUUACUAACCUGUAACUGACAUUGAUGCUCGAAAGUAUGGGUAUCAAACAGGAUUAGAUACCCUGGUAGUCCACACGGUAAACGAUGAAUACUCGCUGUAGGCGAUAUACAGUCUGCGGCCAAGCGAAAGCAUUAAGUAUUCCACCUGGGGAGUACGCCGGCAACGGUGAAACUCAAAGGAAUUGACGGGGGCCCGCACAAGCGGAGGAACAUGUGGUUUAAUUCGAUGAUACGCGAGGAACCUUACCCGGGCUUAAAUUGCAACCGAAUAUGGCGGAAACGCUAUAGCUAGCAAUAGCGGUUGUGAAGGUGCUGCAUGGUUGUCGUCAGCUCGUGCCGUGAGGUGUCGGCUUAAGUGCCAUAACGAGCGCAACCCUUGCCGAUAGUUACUAACAGGUUAUGCUGAGGACUCUGUCGGGACUGCCAUCGUAAGAUGUGAGGAAGGUGGGGAUGACGUCAAAUCAGCACGGCCCUUACGUCCGGGGCUACACACGUGUUACAAUGGGGGGUACAGAGGGCUGCUACCACGCAAGUGGAUGCCAAUCCCAAAAACCUCUCUCAGUUCGGAUUGAAGUCUGCAACCCGACUUCAUGAAGCUGGAUUCGCUAGUAAUCGCGCAUCAGCCACGGCGCGGUGAAUACGUUCCCGGGCCUUGUACACACCGCCCGUCAAGCCAUGGGAGCCGGGGGUACCUGAAGUGCGUAACCGCAAGGAGCGCCCUAGGGUAAAACUGGUGACUGGGGCUAAGUCAUAACA
This 1447-nucleotide ribosomal RNA is filed under the name uncultured organism. RNAcentral describes it as "SSU rRNA". It matches the Rfam family "Bacterial small subunit ribosomal RNA". The record is from RNAcentral.